AAUAAUUUGUGAUCGCCGCUAAGGUCAAAGAAGGCUGAAGUUGGUUUGUAAGUUAAUCGGUCAGUCAGUCAAUCGUACAUCGGCGUCCCGAAAAUAAGCGGAUUGUAACAUUGGACUACGUUAAGUGCUUCACCCCCUUACGAUUUCGUGACCAUUAAUUCUGUGAUAUUAUCAAUUCUGCAAAAAUGGCUACUCCAGCGAAGAAAAGAAUAUGCAUUGUUGGAAGUGGCAAUUGGGGUUCAGCUAUUGCAAAAAUUGUGGGCGCCAAUGUUGUAAAAUAUAACAACAAAUUCGAAACACGUGUGACAAUGUAUGUCUACGAAGAGAUAGUAAAUAGCCAAAAAUUGACUGAAAUUAUAAAUACGAUGCAUGAAAACGUAAAAUAUCUCCCCGGACACAGGCUUCCUGAAAAUAUUGUUGCCGUUCCCGAUGUCGUUGAGGCUGCAAAAGAUGCAGAUAUCCUAAUAUUUGUAAUACCCCAUCAAUUCAUACGAACAUUGUGUGCAACAUUGCUAGACAAAAUAAAACCAACGGCAGUUGGUUUAUCAUUAAUUAAGGGUUUCGAUCGAGGAGAUGGAACAAACAUUGAACUAAUCUCUAAAAUUAUUGAAAAAAAUUUGAGAAUUCAAUGUUAUGUUUUAAUGGGUGCAAAUUUGGCUAAUGAAGUGGCCGAGGAAAAAUUCUGCGAAACUACCAUCGGCUGCAAGGACAAACGGCUAGCACCAUUAUUAAGAGACCUCAUUCAAACACCCAAUUUCAGAGUAGUAGUUGUAGAAGACUGCGAAGCUGUUGAAGUAUGCGGAGCAUUGAAGAAUAUCGUGGCUUGCGCAGCUGGUUUCGUAGAUGGUAUGGGUCUAGGAGAUAACACAAAAGCAGCAGUGAUCAGAUUAGGAUUGAUGGAGAUGGUUAAGUUUGUAGACACUUUCUAUACCGGUUCAAAGCUAUCAACAUUCUUUGAAAGUUGUGGUGUAGCAGAUUUAAUCACUACUUGCUAUGGAGGCAGAAAUCGCAGAGUAUGCGAGCAAUAUGUAAAAACUGGCAAAACAAUUAAAACACUUGAAGACGAACUUUUAGGUGGACAGAAAUUACAAGGUCCUGCCACAGCUGAUGAAGUUCAUGGAAUGCUAAAGGGUCGUAAUUUAACAGAGAAAUUCCCCUUAUUUACUGCCGUACACCGUAUCUGUACAGAUCAAAUAAGACCAGCAGAUUUACUUGACCAAAUUCGUAACCAUCCUGAGCAUGUGUUUGCACCAAGAACAUUAUACAUGUACUAACCACUAUUCCGAUAUUAUAAGUUCAAGUAACAUUGAAACUGUUACAAUGGCUAAUAAAUCCCAAGUAUAUCGGGACAAAAUGUCUCACAAACUUGAGAUAUUUUUAUAUCUUUUCCAUUAAUGAAGCAUCAAUAACACAAGUCGCAUUAGAGACCAAAUGUGAUGAAAGUAGAAGGUGCUGAGGAAUCAUAAUUGUGCGUUCAAGAUCACUUAAUAUGCAACUAUUUUCAUAUUAUCUUCAAUGUUAGAAACAUUACACAUAUUUGACUACAAAUAAAAUCUAUUGAAUUAAUAUCACCGAUUCGAAUAAAUUCGUAAUAAAUUAUUAUUAAUUCUUGUAACAGUACAACAGUCUUUACGAAUAUAAAUGUACUAUAAAUUACUUAAUAAAAAGUUAAGAACGAG
Megalopta genalis is the source of this 1679-nucleotide non-coding RNA. Lineage: Eukaryota; Metazoa; Arthropoda; Insecta; Hymenoptera; Halictidae. The record is from RefSeq and is a predicted model, not a curated record.